AAAUGAGAAAUGAAUUUCAUCAUAUUCAGUUUCGACCUGAAUCUUCAGUUUUAAUACUGCUUAUUUA
This 67-nucleotide transfer RNA is filed under the name Dorypteryx domestica. RNAcentral's name for it is "tRNA-Arg". The record is from RNAcentral. Lineage: Eukaryota; Metazoa; Arthropoda; Insecta; Psocodea; Psyllipsocidae.